GACCACCCUGUCUGCGGGUAUUAUCACCGCCUUCUGUGAGGAGGCACGACUCAUGGGAUAAUACGUAGUUGCCGCAUUCUUGAUUUAUCCAAUGUACUAGACCAUCGCGAAAGGAUCAUUCACGCAUUUUCUGCGAACGAUCGCAGCCAGAAACAAGUUCGCGUUAAUCUAGAACGAAUCAAUGGGUUGUAAAGAAUUUGACGAGGCUGCUAAAUGAAGAAUCAGCAUCCGCUGGCUUAGCGCGAGCAGCCGCAGUACUACUAGGGUUCAAAGUUUAAUCAGUAGUUACCCGGACGUAACGCGUUCACAGGGGAAUAUGCAAGACAGAUGUGCAAUCCCCGGGAUCAAACAUGGGAACCUGCAUUUGUGACUGCAUGGCUAGAGUACGGUAGAGGGGGAUGCAAAUCCCGCGUGUAGCACUGAAAUGUGUAGAUAUGCGGAGGAACACCGAUGGCGAAGGCAAUCCCCUGGACCUGUACUGACGCUCAUGCACGAAAGCGUGGGGAGCAAACAGGAUUAGAUACCCUGGUAGUCCACGCCCUAAACGAUGUCAACUGGUUGUUGGACGGCUUGCUGUUCAGUAACGAAGCUAACGCGUGAAGUUGACCGCCUGGGGAGUACGGCCGCAAGGUUGAAACUCAAAGGAAUUGACGGGGACCCGCACAAGCGGUGGAUGAUGUGGUUUAAUUCGAUGCAACGCGAAAAACCUUACCUACCCUUGACAUGUCUAGAAGUUACCAGAGAUGGUUUCGUGCUCGAAAGAGAGCUAGAACACAGGUGCUGCAUGGCCGUCGUCAGCUCGUGUCGUGAGAUGUUGGGUUAAGUCCCGCAACGAGCGCAACCCUUAUCAUUAGUUGCUACAUUUAGUUGGGCACUCUAAUGAGACUGCCGGUGAUAAACCGGAGGAAGGUGGGGAUGACGUCAAGUCCUCAUGGCCCUUAUAGGUGGGGCUACACACGUCAUACAAUGGCUGGUACAAAGGGUUGCCAACCCGCGAGGGGGAGCUAAUCCCAUAAAACCAGUCGUAGUCCGGAUCGCAGUCUGCAACUCGACUGCGUGAAGUCGGAAUCGCUAGUAAUCGUGGAUCAGAAUGUCACGGUGAAUACGUUCCCGGGUCUUGUACACACCGCCCGUCACACCAUGGGAGCGGGUUCUGUCAGAAGUAGUUAGCCUAACCGCAAGGGGGGCGAUACCACGGCAGCUCGACGU
This 1209-nucleotide ribosomal RNA is filed under the name uncultured bacterium. RNAcentral describes it as "bacterial SSU rRNA". It matches the Rfam family "Bacterial small subunit ribosomal RNA". The record is from RNAcentral.